This 253-nucleotide ribosomal RNA is filed under the name uncultured bacterium. Its description in RNAcentral is "partial 16S ribosomal RNA". It matches the Rfam family "Bacterial small subunit ribosomal RNA", at positions 524 to 776 of the family's 1533-position model. The record is from RNAcentral.
UACGUAGGGGGCAAGCGUUGUCCGGAUUUAUUGGGCGUAAAGAGCGUGUAGGCGGCCAAGCAGGUCAGCUGUGAAAACUCGAGGCUCAACCUCGAGACGUCGGUUGAAACCGCUUGGCUAGAGUCCGGAAGAGGAGAGUGGAAUUCCCGGUGUAGCGGUGAAAUGCGCAGAUAUCGGGAAGAACACCCGUGGCGAAGGCGGCUCUCUGGGACGGUACUGACGCUGAGACGCGAAAGCGUGGGGAGCAAACAGG